GACGAACGCUGGCGGCGUGCUUAACACAUGCAAGUCGAACGGAAAGGCACUGCUUUUGUGGGGUGCUCGAGUGGCGAACGGGAGAGUAACAUGUGAGUAACCCGACCUUGACUUUGGGGUAACUUCAGGAAACUAGGGCUAAUACCGGAAAGGAGAUCCCCCUGCAUGGGGGGGGUUGGAAAGUUUCGGCGGUUGGGGGUGGACUCGCGGCUUAUCAGCUUGUUGGUGGGGUAGUGGCUUACCAAGGCUUUGCCGGGUAGCCGGCCUGCGAGGGUGACCGGCCACGGUAGGACUGAGCUACGGCCCGGACUCCUACGGGAGGCAGCGGUGGGGAGUAGUACACAAGGGGCUGGAGCCUGAUGCAGCAACGCCGCGUGCGGGAUGACGGCCUGCGGGUUGUAUACCGCAUUCGCCUUUUACGAAGCGUUAGUGACGGUAAUGGGUGAAUAAGCACCGGCUAACUACGUG
This 468-nucleotide ribosomal RNA is filed under the name uncultured bacterium. RNAcentral describes it as "partial 16S ribosomal RNA". It matches the Rfam family "Bacterial small subunit ribosomal RNA", at positions 28 to 507 of the family's 1533-position model. The record is from RNAcentral.